This 1375-nucleotide ribosomal RNA is filed under the name uncultured Pelagibacterales bacterium. RNAcentral's name for it is "bacterial SSU rRNA". It matches the Rfam family "Bacterial small subunit ribosomal RNA". The record is from RNAcentral. Lineage: Bacteria; Pseudomonadati; Pseudomonadota; Alphaproteobacteria; Candidatus Pelagibacterales.
GCGGCACGCCUAACACAUGCAAGUCCGAACGAAGUUAGCAAUACUUAGUGGCAGACGGGUGAGUUAACAUGUGGGUUAUCUACCCUUUUGGCCUGGAAUAACACGAGGAAACUUGUGCUAAUACCGGAUAAGUCUUUACGGAGAAAGCUUUAUGCACCAUUGGAUGAGCCUGCACUUGAUUAGUUUGUUGGUGGGGUAAUGGCCUACCAAGACUGUGAUCAAUAGCUGAUUUGAGAGGAUGAUCAGCCACAUUGGGACUGAGACACGGCCCAAACUCCUACGGGAGGCAGCAGUGGGGAAUCUUGCACAAUGGAGGAAACUCUGAUGCAGCGAUGCCGCGUGAGUGAAGAAGGCCUUUGGGUUGUAAAGCUCUUUCGUCGGGGAAGAAAAUGACUGUACCCGAAUAAGAAGGUCCGGCUAACUUCGUGCCAGCAGCCGCGGUAAUACGAAGGGACCUAGCGUAGUUCGGAAUUACUGGGCUUAAAGAGUUCGUAGGUGGUUGAAAAAGUUGGUGGUGAAAUCCCAGAGCUUAACUCUGGAACUGCCAUCAAAACUUUUCAGCUAGAGUUUGAUAGAGGAAAGCAGAAUUUCUAGUGUAGAGGUGAAAUUCGUAGAUAUUAGAAAGAAUACCAAUUGCGAAGGCAGCUUUCUGGAUCAUUACUGACACUGAGGAACGAAAGCAUGGGUAGCGAAGAGGAUUAGAUACCCUCGUAGUCCAUGCCGUAAACGAUGUGUGUUAGACGUUGGAAAUUUAUUUUCAGUGUCGCAGCGAAAGCGAUAAACACACCGCCUGGGGAGUACGACCGCAAGGUUAAAACUCAAAUGAAUUGACGGGGACCCGCACAAGUAGUGGAGCAUGUGGUUUAAUUCGAAGAUACGCGCAGAACCUUACCAACACUUGACAUGUUCGUCGCGACUUUAAGAGAUUAAAGUUUUCGGUUCGGCCGGACGAAACACAGGUGCUGCAUGGCUGUCGUCAGCUCGUGUCGUGAGAUGUUGGGUUAAGUCCCGCAACGAGCGCAACCCUCACUUUUAGUUGCCAUCAUUAAGUUGGGCACUCUGAAAGAACUGCCAGUGAUAAGCUGGAGGAAGGUGGGGAUGACGUCAAGUCCUCAUGGCCCUUACGUGUUGGGCUACACACGUGCUACAAUGGUAUCUACAACAGGAAGCAAGACGGCGACGUUAAGCAAAUCCUUAAAAGAUACCUCAGUUCGGAUUGCACUCUGCAACUCGAGUGCAUGAAGCUGGAAUUACUAGUAAUCGUGGAUCAGCGUGCCACGGUGAAUGCGUUCCCGGGUCUUGUACACACCGCCCGUCACACCAUGGGAAGUUGGUUCUACCUUAAGGCAAAGGUUUCAAACCCUUGACCACGGUA